UACGUAGGGUGCGAGCGUUGUCCGGAAUUAUUGGGCGUAAAGAGCUUGUAGGCGGUUUGUCGCGUCUGCCGUGAAAGCCCAGGGCUUAACCCUGGGUCUGCGGUGGGUACGGGCAGACUAGAGUGUGGUAGGGGAGACUGGAAUUCCUGGUGUAGCGGUGAAAUGCGCAGAUAUCAGGAGGAACACCGAUGGCGAAGGCAGGUCUCUGGGCCACUACUGACGCUGAGAAGCGAAAGCAUGGGGGAGCGAACAGG
RNAcentral lists this ribosomal RNA (254 nucleotides) under uncultured bacterium. RNAcentral describes it as "partial 16S ribosomal RNA". It matches the Rfam family "Bacterial small subunit ribosomal RNA", at positions 524 to 776 of the family's 1533-position model. The record is from RNAcentral.